Molecule: transfer RNA, 87 nt
Filed under: Caudoviricetes sp.
Lineage: Duplodnaviria; Heunggongvirae; Uroviricota; Caudoviricetes
Description: tRNA-OTHER
Rfam family: tRNA
About the family: Transfer RNA (tRNA) molecules are approximately 80 nucleotides in length. Their secondary structure includes four short double-helical elements and three loops (D, anti-codon, and T loops).
Source: RNAcentral
GGCGAGAUAGUUUAACUUGGUUAAAACUUUAUAUUAGUCCGAGGGCAAAAUAUUGAAAUGUUGGUUCGAUUCCAACUCUUGCCACCA